AUGGUUUCAAUUAUUGCGUAAUAUCUUGUGGUCAGCGGUUGACAAGCUGGCCAUCCAACAUGGCGGCGAUCGUGGGGACGAUCGCGGCUUAUACGGCUCAUACAGGAAUUGUACUACAUUAAAAUGUACUCCGGUUAGCCUAAAUACAACCUUGGUGAGCCUAAACAGCAUUCCAGUUUCUGUAAAAGUGAUCAGUUUUGGUCCCUGAGAUGUUUUGAAAGAAGGCAAAAGCGAUGCUAAAAUUGUUCCGGGAUUUGUGAUGUUGUGUUGAGACCGACUGGAGAAGCUAUACCAAGAGAAUCGUAGAGAGCUAUUGAGGAACUUCAUAAGUCAAAUGGAUCAAGACUAAAUUUCUUCAGAGUCAUCAACGUUUACUGUGGGCUUACAUUAUUGAGGUUUGUUGCUUGACAAUUUUAACAUCUUGUCCUCCGAUCGAGGCACGCAGGAUUUUCCCCGAACUUCCACUGGUAUCAUAUCGGCGUGAGCGAAACCUCGGUGAUAUCCUUGCACACUCCGCUGAUGCCUCGCCGUCUCCUACUGAUGCCGGUUCAUUGCCCUGCCGACUGCCGCAAUGCCAGGCGUGCAAGCACAUAACUUCUCAGACUCUUUUACAAGGCCCGAAGAGCGCACAUAACAUCCGUGACCACUUCACCUGUCACUCUGAGAAUGUUGUGUAUUUCAUUUGUUGUCGUCGCUGCGAUUGUCUAUACAUCGGUGAGACUGGAAGGCGACUACGGGGACGUUUCAGCGAGUACCUCCGCAGCAUUCGAAACCGAUCGCGUGGGUUUCCCGUAGCUGAACAUUUCAAUUCCGCCUCCCAUUCUCUGGAUGACAUCAUGGUCUGUAGCUUGAAACAGUGCUCUGGUAGUAACAUCAGCCACAAGCAGAUUGAAAUGAAAUUAAUCUUCAAGCUGGACACGCUUCGACUGAACGGACUGAGCAUUAACUUCAAUUUCUUGUGACUGUGAUUCUAGCGCGUAUUACACAUACGCACGCUAAAACAAUGGUUUUCAUAUGCGGCAGCACGCCUUUGUCUACUUUGUACUUCCUACACGCGCGCUGUCCGUGCGUGCGUACGCGUACAGUUUUUUGUAUGGCGUCGCUCAAUCAUACCGCUCAUUCGUGCCCUCACGGGUGGAGGGCACGAGAUUUUUAAUCUUACAAACUUUGUCUCAAGUUGAAGCGGCCUGCUGUAGCCAGCAAAAGCAGCAACAGAGAAAAAGGUUACGGUGGAGUUUUCUUACCUCUGUACGAGUGUGGUAAGUUAAUUACGCACAGCGAUGAGCGAAGAUCGAUUGACCAGCAGUCGUGUGAGACAAAGUUUCUAAGAUCAAAAAUCUCGUGCCCCUCCACCCGUUUGGUGAUAAUUGACCACGUUCCCAGUCUCGGCCGAGCGGUGACGACUGCAAACUGAUCAACUUAACGUCGUCAAGCAUCAAUUUCCGCUAUUUUGGCCGUCAUAUUGCAAGUUUUUGGCCAGCUAACACGGUUAGAACUGAAUGCGUGAUUCAUUGGAUUGCAGAGAGAGAAACUACAGGCCUUACUUUGUGAGUUCAGCAAGAAAUAUUGUGAGUAAAUGCUCUUUUUGUGUGCAAAUUUGACUCGCUUCCGAAGAGUGUUUUGUCGUCAAACUGGCCGAAGUUUUCUACUUUGUCUCUUAUUAUAACACCGUAGGAUAAAUAAAUCAAAAUUCUCUCAAAUUUCGUUUAAACUCUCCAGGAUAAGAAAAAAUGACACCAUUGAA
This 1744-nucleotide long non-coding RNA is filed under the name Orbicella faveolata. Its description in RNAcentral is "uncharacterized LOC110047684". Lineage: Eukaryota; Metazoa; Cnidaria; Anthozoa; Scleractinia; Merulinidae. The record is from RNAcentral.